This 127-nucleotide ribosomal RNA is filed under the name Euglena longa. Lineage: Eukaryota; Euglenozoa; Euglenophyceae; Euglenales; Euglenaceae. The record is from RNAcentral.
AGGGGUGCUCUUGAUUUUAUAGAACCACUAAAAUACAUUCCGAAUUUUAUAUGUGAAAUGUAAGAUGAAAAAUAAUUAUUAAAAGAAAUUAAUAUUACUUUUAUGAAAAUUUUUUAGUGCUCCAUAU